This 725-nucleotide ribosomal RNA is filed under the name uncultured Bacteroidales bacterium. RNAcentral describes it as "bacterial SSU rRNA". It matches the Rfam family "Bacterial small subunit ribosomal RNA", at positions 43 to 757 of the family's 1533-position model. Lineage: Bacteria; Pseudomonadati; Bacteroidota; Bacteroidia; Bacteroidales. The record is from RNAcentral.
CAGGCUUAACACAUGCAAGUCGAGGGGCAGCAUGGUCUUAGCUUGCUAAGGCCGAUGGCGACCGGCGCACGGGUGAGUAACACGUAUCCAACCUGCCGUCUACUCUUGGACAGCCUUCUGAAAGGAAGAUUAAUACAAGAUGGCAUCAUGAGUCCGCAUGUUCACAUGAUUAAAGGUUUACCGGUGUAAGAUGGGGAUGCGUUCCAUUAGAUAGUAGGCGGGGUAACGGCCCACCUAGUCUUCGAUGGAUAGGGGUUCUGAGAGGAAGGUCCCCCACAUUGGAACUGAGACACGGUCCAAACUCCUACGGGAGGCAGCAGUGAGGAAUAUUGGUCAAUGGACGAGAGUCUGAACCAGCCAAGUAGCGUGAAGGAUGAAGGUUCUAUGGAUUGUAAACUUCUUUUAUACGGGAAUAAACGGAUCCACGUGUGGAUUUUUGCAUGUACCGUAUGAAUAAGGAUCGGCUAACUCCGUGCCAGCAGCCGCGGUAAUACGGAGGAUCCGAGCGUUAUCCGGAUUUAUUGGGUUUAAAGGGAGCGUAGAUGGGUUGUUAAGUCAGUUGUGAAAGUUUGCGGCUCAACCGUAAAAUUGCAAUUGAUACUGGCAGUCUUGAGUACAGUUGAGGUAGGCGGAAUUCGUGGUGUAGCGGUGAAAUGCUUAGAUAUCACGAAGAACUCCGAUUGCGAAGGCAGCUUACUAACCUGUAACUGACAUUGAUGCUCGAA